UCCUACGGGAGGCAGCAGUGGGGAAUCUUAGACAAUGGGGGCAACCCUGAUCUAGCCAUGCCGCGUGAGUGAUGAAGGCCUUAGGGUCGUAAAGCUCUUUCGCCUGUGAUGAUAAUGACAGUAGCAGGUAAAGAAACCCCGGCUAACUCCGUGCCAGCAGCCGCGGUAAUACGGAGGGGGUUAGCGUUGUUCGGAAUUACUGGGCGUAAAGCGCGCGUAGGCGGAUUAGAAAGUUGGGGGUGAAAUCCCGGGGCUCAACCCCGGAACUGCCUCCAAAACUGCUAGUCUAGAGUUCGAGAGAGGUGAGUGGAAUUCCGAGUGUAGAGGUGAAAUUCGUAGAUAUUCAGAGGAACACCAGUGGCGAAGGCGGCUCACUGGCUCGAUACUGACGCUGAGGUGCGAAAGUGUGGGGAGCAAACAGGAUUAGAUACCCUGGUAGUCCACACCGUAAACGAUGAAUGCCAGUCGUCGGAUAGUAUACUAUUCGGUGACACACCUAACGGAUUAAGCAUUCCGCCUGGGGAGUACGGUCGCAAGAUUAAAACUCAAAGGAAUUGACGGA
Molecule: ribosomal RNA, 562 nt
Filed under: uncultured bacterium
Lineage: Bacteria
Description: bacterial SSU rRNA
Rfam family: Bacterial small subunit ribosomal RNA
Source: RNAcentral